UUAGCAAUGAGAUGGAAGAUCAUCUGCAAGUCUGCGACCUUCUCAACACUGAUGGUAGGGGCUGGAGAGUACAGGAGAUCAUCAGAUUAUUUGGUGGUCUGCUUGCUGAUCGGACCCUCGCUACUCUUGUUCCGAUUCCUCAUAGUCAGGAUUUGAGGGGUGUGGGGUCGAUCUUGCCACCCUAGGGUUCUCUUGAAGGACCUAUUUGAGAUGUGCAG
Molecule: long non-coding RNA, 218 nt
Filed under: Elaeis guineensis (African oil palm)
Lineage: Eukaryota; Viridiplantae; Streptophyta; Magnoliopsida; Arecales; Arecaceae
Description: long non-coding RNA (EGUI_LNC060672)
Source: RNAcentral